GAUGAACGCUGGCGGCGUGCCUAAUACAUGCAAGUCGAGCGAACGGACGAGAAGCUUGCUUCUCUGAUGUUAGCGGCGGACGGGUGAGUAACACGUGGAUAACCUACCUAUAAGACUGGGAUAACUUCGGGAAACCGGAGCUAAUACCGGAUAAUAUUUUGAACCGCAUGGUUCAAAAGUGAAAGACGGUCUUGCUGUCACUUAUAGAUGGAUCCGCGCUGCAUUAGCUAGUUGGUAAGGUAACGGCUUACCAAGGCAACGAUGCAUAGCCGACCUGAGAGGGUGAUCGGCCACACUGGAACUGAGACACGGUCCAGACUCCUACGGGAGGCAGCAGUAGGGAAUCUUCCGCAAUGGGCGAAAGCCUGACGGAGCAACGCCGCGUGAGUGAUGAAGGUCUUCGGAUCGUAAAACUCUGUUAUUAGGGAAGAACAUAUGUGUAAGUAACUGUGCACAUCUUGACGGUACCUAAUCAGAAAGCCACGGCUAACUACGUGCCAGCAGCCGCGGUAAUACGUAGGUGGCAAGCGUUAUCCGGAAUUAUUGGGCGUAAAGCGCGCGUAGGCGGUUUUUUAAGUCUGAUGUGAAAGCCCACGGCUCAACCGUGGAGGGUCAUUGGAAACUGGAAAACUUGAGUGCAGAAGAGGAAAGUGGAAUUCCAUGUGUAGCGGUGAAAUGCGCAGAGAUAUGGAGGAACACCAGUGGCGAAGGCGACUUUCUGGUCUGUAACUGACGCUGAUGUGCGAAAGCGUGGGGAUCAAACAGGAUUAGAUACUCUGGUAGUCCACGCCGUAAACGAUGAGUGCUAAGUGUUAGGGGGUUUCCGCCCCUUAGUGCUGCAGCUAACGCAUUAAGCACUCCGCCUGGGGAGUACGACCGCAAGGUUGAAACUCAAAGGAAUUGACGGGGACCCGCACAAGCGGUGGAGCAUGUGGUUUAAUUCGAAGCAACGCGAAGAACCUUACCAAAUCUUGACACCCUUUGACAACUCUAGAGAUAGAGCCUUCCCCUUCGGGGGACAAAGUGACAGGUGGUGCAUGGUUGUCGUCAGCUCGUGUCGUGAGAUGUUGGGUUAAGUCCCGCAACGAGCGCAACCCUUAAGCUUAGUUGCCAUCAUUAAGUUGGGCACUCUAAGUUGACUGCCGGUGACAAACCGGAGGAAGGUGGGGAUGACGUCAAAUCAUCAUGCCCCUUAUGAUUUGGGCUACACACGUGCUACAAUGGACAAUACAAAGGGCAGCGAAACCGCGAGGUCAAGCAAAUCCCAUAAAGUUGUUCUCAGUUCGGAUUGUAGUCUGCAACUCGACUACAUGAAGCUGGAAUCGCUAGUAAUCGUAGAUCAGCAUGCUACGGUGAAUACGUUCCCGGGUCU
RNAcentral lists this ribosomal RNA (1372 nucleotides) under uncultured bacterium. RNAcentral's name for it is "bacterial SSU rRNA". It matches the Rfam family "Bacterial small subunit ribosomal RNA", at positions 28 to 1381 of the family's 1533-position model. The record is from RNAcentral.